ACUCAAACAUGUGCAGAGGGGAAUAGCAGGUUAUGCAUCUCCGUGAGAGACUACUACUGUUACAUGUUGCAAACACGGCCUGCGAUUUUCAAUCCCAUACUUUGUGGAGCACGUCUACUGCAGCAAUGGGCGGUUGACAUGUACAUCAAGAUUGAGAGUUGUCGGUUGAGGUGGUACAGGAAGAACCAGACACAGAUCCGUGCCGACUUGUAUAAAGGAGUUGUUGAUGCGAUCACAUCAGGGGAGACGCGAGCAAGCUUUGUUGGGGUAAGGAUAGUGCUCCCUGGAACUUACCCUGGUGGCGACCGUGACAUGAAGAAGAGACAUAUGGAUGCCAUGGCAAUUGUCCAUACAUUCGAGAAGCCUGACAUCUUCUUGACCAUGACUUGCAACCCUAAAUGGCGAGAGAUAACGAAUGAGUUGCUUCCUGAUAAGACGGUGCAAGACCGUCCUGAUAUUGUGGCUCGCGUGUUCUACGGAAAACUAGAGGCUAUGAAAGACAUGUUGCUCAAGAAGAUGGUCCUGGGUGUUGUUGUUGCUUAUGUGUACGUAGUCGAGUUCCAAAAGAGGGGCCUCCCCACACACAUUUUUUGUUGA
This 597-nucleotide ribosomal RNA is filed under the name Triticum aestivum (bread wheat). Its description in RNAcentral is "partial small subunit ribosomal RNA". Lineage: Eukaryota; Viridiplantae; Streptophyta; Magnoliopsida; Poales; Poaceae. The record is from RNAcentral.